GUCUAUGAUUGCAUGAAAGAAGUUAAUGCUGACCCCAACCAUAACCCCUCAACUUCUAAAUACUAAACCCUAAAUUUUAGUCAUUAAACCCUAAUCCAAAUAUACCCUAAACCCUAAACCUAAAUAAAUAGAUUAAGCUAAACCCUAAUCAUGGAAGUAUAAACCCAAAUAGAAUGUAUAUAAUAUGGUUUACUAUACCCAAACCGUUACUUAGUAAAUCUAAACCCUAGGCAGGAACCUAUAAACCCAAACUCAAAUAUAAACACAAAACACAAAUACAAUGGAACAAAAUAAAUAACAUAGUACAUAUUGGUGAAACUAUAAAAUGUCUAUGAUUGCAUGAAAGAAGUUAAUGCUGACCCCAACCAUACUCCCUCACCUUCUAAAUACUAAACCCUAAAUUCUAGUCACUAAACCCUAAUCCAAAUAUACCCUAAACCCUAAACCUAAAUAAAUAUUAAGCUAAACCCUAAUCAAGGAAGUAUAAACUCAAAUAGAAUGUACAUAAUAUGGUUUACUAUACCCAAACCGUUACUUAGUAAAUCUAAACCCUAGGCAGGAACCUAUAAACCCAAACUCAAAUAUAAACACAAAACCCAAAUAGAAUGGAACAAAAUAAAUAACAUAGUAUAUAUUGGUGAAACUAUAAAAUGUCUAUGAUUGCAUGAAAUAAGUUAAUGCUGACCCCAACCAUACCCUCUCACCUUCUAAAUACUAAACCCUAAAUUCUAGUCACUAAACCCUAAUCCAAAUAUACCCUAUACCCUAAACCUAAAUAAAUAGAUUAAGAUAAACCCUAAUCAAGGAAGUAUAAACCCAAAUAGAAUGCAUAUAAUAUGGUUUACUAUACCCAAACAUUUACUUAGUAAAUCUAAACCCUAGGCAGGAACCUAUAAACCCAAAUACAAUCUAUAAAUUGUUUUCCAAUAUUAAAC
This 935-nucleotide long non-coding RNA is filed under the name Brassica napus (rape). RNAcentral's name for it is "long non-coding RNA (BNAP_LNC017693)". The record is from RNAcentral. Lineage: Eukaryota; Viridiplantae; Streptophyta; Magnoliopsida; Brassicales; Brassicaceae.